GGGUGAAAGGGUGGGGUAAGAGCCCACCGCGCGACUGGCAACAGGAGCGGCAGGGCAAACCCCACCGGGAGCAAAACCGAAUAGGGGCGGUGCGAGGGGAAACCUUCGAGGGCUGUUUCCGGCCCACCGUCCGGGUAGGUUGCGUGAGGCGCAUGGCAACAUGUGCCCAAGAUGAAUGGCCGCCAGGUUCUCGUCGCAAGGCGAGGGCCAUACAGAACCCGGCUUACAGGCCAGCUGGCAAU
This 242-nucleotide RNase P RNA is filed under the name Mesorhizobium sp. Its description in RNAcentral is "partial RNase P RNA component class A". It matches the Rfam family "Bacterial RNase P class A", at positions 152 to 367 of the family's 367-position model. From Rfam's summary of the family: Ribonuclease P (RNase P) is a ubiquitous endoribonuclease, found in archaea, bacteria and eukarya as well as chloroplasts and mitochondria. Its best characterised activity is the generation of mature 5'-ends of tRNAs by cleaving the 5'-leader elements of precursor-tRNAs. Lineage: Bacteria; Pseudomonadati; Pseudomonadota; Alphaproteobacteria; Hyphomicrobiales; Phyllobacteriaceae. The record is from RNAcentral.